Molecule: ribosomal RNA, 388 nt
Filed under: alpha proteobacterium BAL184
Lineage: Bacteria; Pseudomonadati; Pseudomonadota; Alphaproteobacteria
Description: bacterial SSU rRNA
Rfam family: Bacterial small subunit ribosomal RNA
Source: RNAcentral
AGUCGAACGGGUGUAGCAAUACAUCAGUGGCAGACGGGUGAGUAACACGUGGGAACCUUCCUCGUUGUACGGGACAACUCAGGGAAACUUGAGCUAAUACCGUAUACGUCCGAGAGGAGAAAGAUUUAUCGCAAUGAGACGGGCCCGCGUCGGAUUAGCUAGUUGGUGGGGUAACGGCCUACCAAGGCGACGAUCCGUAGCUGAUCUGAGAGGAUGAUCAGCCACACUGGGACUGAGACACGGCCCAGACUCCUACGGGAGGCAGCAGUGGGGAAUCUUGGACAAUGGGCGCAAGCCUGAUCCAGCCAUGCCGCGUGAGUGAAGAAGGCCUUAGGGUUGUAAAGCUCUUUUGCCAGGGACGAUAAUGACGGUACCUGGAGAAUAAGCC